Molecule: ribosomal RNA, 451 nt
Filed under: uncultured bacterium
Lineage: Bacteria
Description: partial 16S ribosomal RNA
Rfam family: Bacterial small subunit ribosomal RNA
Source: RNAcentral
GUGGGGAAUAUUGGACAAUGGGGGGAACCCUGAUCCAGCCAUGUCGCGUGUGUGAAGAAGGCCUUUUGGUUGUAAAGCACUUUAAGCGAGGAGGAGGCUACCGAGAUUAAUACUCUUGGAUAGUGGACGUUACUCGCAGAAUAAGCACCGGCUAACUCUGUGCCAGCAGCCGCGGUAAUACAGAGGGUGCAAGCGUUAAUCGGAUUUACUGGGCGUAAAGCGCGCGUAGGUGGCCAAUUAAGUCAAAUGUGAAAUCCCCGAGCGUAACUUGGGAAUUGCAUUCGAUACUGGUUGGCUAGAGUAUGGGAGAGGAUGGUAGAAUUCCAGGUGUAGCGGUGAAAUGCGUAGAGAUCUGGAGGAAUACCGAUGGCGAAGGCAGCCAUCUGGCCUAAUACUGACACUGAGGUGCGAAAGCAUGGGGAGCAAACAGGAUUAGAAACCCGGGUAGUCC